RNAcentral lists this ribosomal RNA (902 nucleotides) under uncultured archaeon. Its description in RNAcentral is "bacterial SSU rRNA". It matches the Rfam family "Archaeal small subunit ribosomal RNA", at positions 1 to 879 of the family's 1478-position model. The record is from RNAcentral.
UUCCGGUUGAUCCUGCCGGACCCUACUGCUAUCGGGGUGGGACUAAGACAUGCGAGUCGUGCGUCUCUAAGCUAUGGUAGAGACGCGGCAUACGGCUCAGUUACACGUGGCUAACCUACCCUUAGGACGGGGACAACCCCGGGAAACUGGGGCUAAUCCCCGAUAGGUGAGGAGGCCUGGAAUGGUUCUUCGCUGAAAAGGCGUUGAAACCAUGCUUUUCAACGUCGCCUAAGGAUGGGGCCGCGCCCGAUCAGGUUGUUGGUGGGGUAACGGCUCACCAAGCCUAUAACCGGUACGGGCCGUGAGAGCGGGAGCCCGGAGAUGGGCACUGAGACAAGGGCCCAGGCCCUACGGGGCGCAGCAGUCGCGAAAACUCCGCAAUGCGCGAAAGCGUGACGGGGCUACCCCGAGUGCCGUCCGCUGAGGAUGGCUUUUCCCCGGUGUAAUGAGUCGGGGGAAUAAGGAGAGGGCAAGUCUGGUGUCAGCCGCCGCGGUAAUACCAGCUCUCCGAGUGGUAGGGACGAUUAUUGGGCUUAAAGCGUCCGUAGCCGGCUUAGCAAGUCUCCUGUUAAAUUCAGCGACCUAAUCGUUGAGCCGCGGGAGAUACUACUAGGCUAGGAGGCGAGAGAGGCCGACGGUAUUCUCGGGGUAGGGGUGAAAUCCUAUAAUCCCGGGAGGACCACCAGUGGCGAAGGCUGUCGGCUAGAACGCGCUCGACGGUGAGGGACGAAAGCUGGGGGAGCGAACCGGAUUAGAUACCCGGGUAGUCCCAGCUGUAAACGAUGCGGGCUAGGUGUUGGGGUGGCUACGAGCCACUUCAGUGCCGCAGGGAAGCCAUUAAGCCCGCCGCCUGGGGAGUACGGCCGCAAGGCUGAAACUUAAAGGAAUUGGCGGGGGAGCAU